UUUCAUGCCUAAACUUUAAAUUAUCCUUUUUAAUAACAUACCAAUGCAAUAGUUUGUAUUCAUUCGUGUGCACUUGUAACAGGAUGCAAUAAAAAACGGAAAAGGUAACGGAUAAGAAUUUUAAAAUAAGAGGAAGGAAAAAGAAAAAGAGAAAUACCCAGAGGAGAUGAAGAGUCGACCAAAGGUGGCCAGAAAGAGGCGAGACUGUAGACCAGGGUGAAGAAAAUAAACAGUUUCAAGAUUGCUUUGAACGGAUGGUGGGAUAUCAUCGAAAAUAGAUCGGAGAGCUGAGAUUCCAGGGAAAUUCUGUCCUCUAUCAACACCAGUGUGGA
Long non-coding RNA from Amaranthus tricolor (Joseph's coat), 332 nucleotides. RefSeq lists it as uncharacterized. The record is from RefSeq and is a predicted model, not a curated record. NCBI's taxonomy places the organism in Eukaryota, Viridiplantae, Streptophyta, Magnoliopsida, Caryophyllales, Amaranthaceae. The transcript is spliced from 2 exons.